CGCAUCAAACAAUGAAUAAAUUACACGAUUUUCAUCAAACAUGUCGUAUGUUGUGUAAAAUACACGAUUGUAUUGUAUUAAAUUGACGAUGUAAAGUACAAGAUUGCAAUUUGUGGCGCCAUUUCAACAUGGGAUGUGGGCCUUCGCGGGAGGUCAUAGUGGUGUGUAUAUACGUUUUUUUUGUAUUUGGGUAAAUAUUGUGUAUCGAGUGUUAUCGUACUUUGAAGAAAGUCAAUUUUGUCUUGCUGCAACAACUCCAACAAGGAAGAAAUUAUAGUGAUUACAAAAUUGUGAUGCAAUUAUAAACUGUAAACCAAAUGGUAUUAAUUCGUAAGCCUUUGCUGUAAAUUAAACCAUAUAUAAUAUAUCCUUCGUUACAGUAAUGUUUGUGACGUCACCUGAAUCUCUGUGACGUCAUAGUCUUCCUGGACAAUUUUCAUGUUUAUGGUAGAAAACCUGCAGUUUUCAGAGUUAAAAAUGUUUUUAUUAAUUAUUUUCAUUAUACCUGAUAGUUGAGUAUUUGGAGGCAAAUAAAAUAGACUUCCUCUUGCAGAAAAGAAACUUCUUAUCAUUUUCAAAUAUUAUAAUUUAUUUUAUUAGAUACAAACAGAAAAUCGACCAGCAGGUCCAGUAGUAGUUCAAAGUUCAACUGUAGGAUAUGCACAACCAGGUACAAACAACUGUUCCGAUCCCAACUUUCUCCUGUGCCUGCUAUUAAUACCGCCUGCGACGCAGGCUAGGGCAGGCUCUAUUCCUAAAAUUUGGCCCCAAACAGACAGAGGCGUAGCUAGCCCGUCAAUUUAGUCCCGCUAUGCAAAUUCAAAAAUAUUACAUUAUUCAUUUCUUUAGGAAUUGAUUGUUUUCACAGUCAAUGAACACGAAAAUAUUUGCAUAGUGCGACUAAAUAUCAUCGGGCUGGCUAUGUUACUGCAAAAAGAGUAUUUUCCCUUUUACGUUUAUCUCCACAGUUAGAAAUGACGCAUUUGAUUAAGAAAGAUGCACACACAUCAGGAACAUACAACACAUCCUCACAACUGUUUAGCGGCUGUGCGCAGGCUACUACAAAUGUUUGACCAUAGGCCACUUUCUACAGUUGGGUUUAAAUAUUUUUUGUGCAUCUUAAUAUGCCUUCUUGGCCUCGUUCUGGUCAUAAAAUUAUAUUUAAUUUCAGUCACGGCCAAGAAAGUCUGGCUGUGUUACGAAAGUGAUCUAUAUGGACACAUGUUAUUUUCUCUCAAUCAGAUUACCAGCAAGUACCACCACAAUGCAUGGCAGCACCAUGUGGACCUCGACCAGCUGGGUACCCUCAGCAAAGGCCACCAUAUGUUUGCCCGCAAGAUCCACCUCCUCAAGGUUACCCACCACAGUAUGGUUAUAAACACCCAGCACCAGUUCAUGUCUGGAACUGAAUUUAUAAUGAGUUACUGACUAUAGUUGAUUAGUAUUCGUAUGUUUAUUUGUUAUUGUUUAGUCGUAUUACGUGAUUAAAUGGCAUGAUACAGCAUGUUUU
This is a non-coding RNA of Paramuricea clavata, 1510 nucleotides long. The record is from the annotation of a GenBank genome assembly. NCBI's taxonomy places the organism in Eukaryota, Metazoa, Cnidaria, Anthozoa, Malacalcyonacea, Plexauridae.